Molecule: long non-coding RNA, 1466 nt
Filed under: Macaca fascicularis (crab-eating macaque)
Lineage: Eukaryota; Metazoa; Chordata; Mammalia; Primates; Cercopithecidae
Description: lncRNA (ENSMFAG00000054731.1)
Source: RNAcentral
UCCUAAUGAAAUAUAGCCGUGCAGCAAAAGGAGCAUUUAUUAUCAGAAACACAUUUCUUUUCUGACAUUACGGGGGGCGGGGGCGGUGAGAGGGAAGGUCCAGAUUAACUGUACUUUUUAAUAAGAGAUGGAGUGCUAUUGGAAAACUAUUAAGGAAACUGUGGCUUGAGCUCAGAUUCAAGGAAGCCCAUAAGAAAACUUUACUACCUUCCAGCUUAAUACUGCAGUAGGGCCCGUUCUACAGACCCACUGCUGCCUGAAUGAUUCUGGGGAGUAUUUGUGAGCUGGGGUUGUUCUAGGAAAGGCAAUCAACCGCUGAUGAGCUCUCCUGCUUAACUUUCCUAAUUGAUUCCACCAGACCUCCUAGUAGACUAGUUGCUAACCCUACCCCUUCCCAACUCUGGCCUGGCUCCUUCUGAUGGCAAAGUCUUCAGGGACCAUUUGCCAGUUUGGAGCUGGGCCUUGGAGCUGCAGAACAGGCUUGUAAAGCAGAUGCAUAGUAAAUGCUGCAGCCAAGUGCACAGCACAUUUUCCUAAGUGGAAAUCCUGUGUUACAGACAGAACAUUACUUAACAGUAGGUGGGCAGUUCAAUCCUAAACAGCUCAGUUCUUCCCCAUCAGAGACCCUGCAGAAGCAUGCUUCUGCCGCAGCUGUGGGAGGAAGAGCAGUUCUUGUAACUGUUAGGAGCAGACAGUGGCUAACAGAAACAGUCUCUUGGGAAGUCCCUGUCUGUGAUUUUCCUACGUAAACACAAGAAAACAAAACCCCUGGGCUUGCCGUUCACACAAACAAGCUGCACAAAGCUUUCUUUCCUUCAUCUGCAUGUGCUAGUAGCUGUUCUUCCUUUAGUUUUUACUGCUGCUUAAAAGUAUUUUUGUCCAGAUAUGUAAAGGUGCCUCGCCCUUCUCCUUCUCAGGAAAAGUAACUAUUUAUUGAGUGCCUGUCGCCAUGCAGGAACUCUGUAUCCAUCAUCUCACCUCUUCCUCAUCAAACACAUCUCUUCCGAGUGAGUUGCCAAAUUACACUGCUGGCUUCCCAACCUGAGGUUUUGCUUCUGUUUACAUUUUACCAGAGCAAGAGAGAAAAAGUCACAAAUGAUGUGCUGUCUUCUCAUCCUACUAAUCCCUCUUCCCCAGGCCUUUCCACUUCUGGAAUUAAGUAUCUGGGCCUUGGCAGCCAGGCCAACCCCUAACAUCAGUAAAGCCCAGGCAAGAGCAAAAAUGGAUGCCCAUAUGCCUAAAGCUGUAAGAUUUAUAAUGCCACUUUAAUGCUUCCUCAUGUCCAUGUCAGAUAUGUGCAUUAAAAUUCAUAAAAAAUAAUUAUCGGCCAGGUGUGGUGGCUCAUGCCUGUAAUCCCAGCACUUUGGGAGGCCGAAGUUAGAGGAUCGCUUAAAGCCAGAAGUUUGAGACCAGCCUGUGCAACAUAGUGAGACCCCAUCUCUACAAAAAAUAAAAAAAAAAAAAAA